GCCAUGCCGCGUGCAGGAUGACGGCCCUAUGGGUUGUAAACUGCUUUUAUACGGGAAGAAACGCACCUACGUGUAGGUGUCUGACGGUACCGUAAGAAUAAGGACCGGCUAACUCCGUGCCAGCAGCCGCGGUAAUACGGAGGGUCCGAGCGUUAUCCGGAAUCAUUGGGUUUAAAGGGUCCGUAGGCGGGCCUGUAAGUCAGGGGUGAAAGUUUGUGGCUCAACCAUAAAAUUGCCUUUGAUACUGCAGGUCUUGAGUCAUGGUGGGGUCGCCGGAACAUGUGGUGUAGCGGUGAAAUGCAUAGAUAUCACAUAGAACACCGAUCGCGAAGGCAGGUGACCAACCAUGUACUGACGCUGAUGGACGAAAGCGUGGGUAGCGAACGGGAUUAGAUACCCCGGUAGUCCACGCCGUAAACGAUGGAUACUAGCUGUGGGGACUUCGGUCUCCGUGGCCAAGCGAAAGUGAUAAGUAUCCCACCUGGGGAGUACGUUCGCAAGAAUGAAACUCA
This 512-nucleotide ribosomal RNA is filed under the name uncultured bacterium. Its description in RNAcentral is "bacterial SSU rRNA". It matches the Rfam family "Bacterial small subunit ribosomal RNA", at positions 391 to 903 of the family's 1533-position model. The record is from RNAcentral.